Corvus hawaiiensis (hawaiian crow) is the source of this 470-nucleotide long non-coding RNA. RefSeq lists it as uncharacterized. The transcript is spliced from 3 exons. Lineage: Eukaryota; Metazoa; Chordata; Aves; Passeriformes; Corvidae. The record is from RefSeq and is a predicted model, not a curated record.
GGGGUCCCAAGAGGGAUAUGGGGGGUGCCAGGAAUCCUCAAGGUGUCCCCCAGGUGUCCCCCAAGUGUCCCCGAGGUGCCCCAAGUGUCCCAAGUGUCCCCCAGGUGUCCCCAGGUGUCCCCGAGGUGUCCCCGAGGUGUCUCCAAGGUGUCCCCAAGUGCCCCCAAGUGUCCCUGAGGUGUCUCCAGGUGUCCCCCAGGUGUCCCCCAGGUGUCCCCAGGUGUCCCUGAGGUGUCCCCAGGUGUCCCCAGGUGUCCCCGAAGUGUCCCCGAGGUGUCCCCGAGGUGUCCCCGAGGUGCCCCCAGGUGUCCCCAGGUGUCCCCGAGGUGUCCCCGAGGUGUCCCCAGGUGUCCCCAGGUGUCCCCCAGGUAUCCCCAGGUGUCCCCGAGGUGUCCCCGAGGUGUCCCCAGGUGUCCCCAGGUGUCCCCGAGGUGCCCCCAGGUGUCCCCAGGUGUCCCCAAGUGUCCCCG